UACGUAGGGCGCAAGCGUUGUCCGGAAUUAUUGGGCGUAAAGAGCUCGUAGGCGGUUUGUCGCGUCUGCUGUGAAAACCUAAGGCUCAACCUUGGGCUUGCAGUGGGUACGGGCAGACUAGAGUGCGGUAGGGGUGACUGGAAUUCCUGGUGUAGCGGUGGAAUGCGCAGAUAUCAGGAGGAACACCGAUGGCGAAGGCAGGUCUCUGGGCACUUACUGACGCUGAGGAGCGAAAGCGUGGGGAGCGAACAGG
This 253-nucleotide ribosomal RNA is filed under the name uncultured bacterium. Its description in RNAcentral is "partial 16S ribosomal RNA". It matches the Rfam family "Bacterial small subunit ribosomal RNA", at positions 524 to 776 of the family's 1533-position model. The record is from RNAcentral.